Non-coding RNA from Selaginella moellendorffii, 108 nucleotides. The record is from Rfam. Lineage: Eukaryota; Viridiplantae; Streptophyta; Lycopodiopsida; Selaginellales; Selaginellaceae.
AGCCCUAAACCAGAACAGGGGCUCCAAGACACUGAAUGAUACAAAGAAGAUUAGCAUGGCCCCUGCUCAAGGAUGACACGCACAAAUCGAGAAAUGGUCCUAAAUCAG